CAGCCAUUUUCUUUCGUGUUUGAAUAUAUAGGAAUAUUAAAAACAUGGACCUUUAUUCAACCAACACACAUAACGAUUACAUAAUUUAGAAAAUCAUGACAACCACAAAAGUAUUUAAUUAGUAGCUUAGUACAUAACAUUAUAUGACAACACAAUAUACUAAUUUCUUAUUAAGCUUUUGGUAGAGCAAUAUUAUUAUUGUCAUUAAUACAAUAAUUCUCAUUGCAACUUUCACACUUGUCAUGAUCUGCAAAAUUAACGAGUAAUUAGGACUAAGGAGCAUGUAUGUUUGAAAUAUAUUCAAUUUUAGAUCGAUCAUCACUAAUCACUCCGUCUAUACAUAAAUAUAAAAUAAAAACAUUAUUAUAACAUACCGUAUUUGUUGAUGAGAAAUUUGUAACAAUGGCCAAGAGAGC
This 416-nucleotide long non-coding RNA is filed under the name Solanum tuberosum (potato). Its description in RNAcentral is "long non-coding RNA (STUB_LNC009569)". Lineage: Eukaryota; Viridiplantae; Streptophyta; Magnoliopsida; Solanales; Solanaceae. The record is from RNAcentral.